AAAAUAUCGCAAGCUAGAUUAUUAUCAAUCAGAGUAAACUUAUUAUCCACCAAAUAAUUUAAAAUAUCGUAAGCUUGUGUCGCUUACAUUUUAUUCGAUAGCGAAACUCUUAAAACAGUUACCAAAAGAUUCAGCAUAAAUAUUGUAACCGCCCGUCCCUUACGAUAUUUUGUUUUUUUAAUCGUUAUGUUUCGCGCCAAAAUUAGGGUAUGAAAUAUCACAACCGCCCAAAAUAUUCAUAUAAAUAAACGUAUCCGCCUGUCGCUUACGAUAUUUUUGUUUUGUUUGUUAUUAUGUUUUGCGCCAACAUUAGGGUAUGAAAUAUCGCAACCGCCCAAAUAUUUGUAGAAAUAAACGUAUCCGCCUGUCGGUUACGAUAUAUUGGAAAUCGUGGUAUAUCAGACACGUAGGUUCUCGUCGGAUGUUAAAUAAUCGUAACGACCAAACUAAAUCAGUUUUUUAACCCUCCUCGUGGAAAGCGGACGUGUUUUUAGUGUGUUUUGUUGUUAUACUGUUAUUUAUUUAUCCUAAAAAUGUCCUAGGGGCUUACGGUGUCUGAAUUUGUGUAAUAAAAGUAAAGAAGCUGUUGAAACCCUGAAAUUGCGACUCACAAACGAAGAGUUUUCCGAAGGAACAACAAUGUUUCAAAAGACGUUGGCGUUACUCUCACAAACAAAGGGAGACGAAUCUAAAGAUGCUCCAGACCCCAUGACUAUUCUUGACAAUGUUAAUGACAAUGCUUUUUUUGAGCAAAAUCCAGAAUUAUCCUUUCAACCCAAGCCUGAUCAAGAAAUUAUUGUUAAUAAAUUAGCGGGACAUGAAGCUACGGUACAUUCACAAACAAACGGAGACGAACCUAAAAAUGAUCCAGAAACAAUUAUGACCUUCACUAUUCUCGAAAAUGUUAUUGACAGUGUUAUUUCUGAGCAAAAUCCAGAGUUAUCUCUGCAACCCAAAGGUGAUCAAGAAGUUAUUAUCAAUGAACCAUUAGCAGGAGGAGCCGCUGAAACUACCGACCUUGACAAAGGCAACAUCCCUAUUAUUAUUAUACAACCAAAUGGAACAGUUAUUUCUAAUUAGGAAAAUAGUAUUGCCAUGAAUUCAUUCAGUGCUGCGCUGACCUCAAUCUUACUGGUGUAUCAGACCUUGACUUCCUGAUGAACGAAAGUGUUCUGGAACCAAGUGCUGAAAUUAUGACGUUUCCAUUCGAUAAUAAUAGUUCAAGUAUAGAAAGUUAUGAUCCCCAGUCUAAGCAAACAGUGACAACUCUUCAGAACAAUAAAUCAACAGAUGAUAAACAAGCAAUGGCUAUGAAUAUUGACAGAGAAGAUAAUGAUAAUAAUGAAGAAGACAUUAGUUCAGAAGAUCAAAGCAGUGAUCGGGCUAGCACUGAUUUGUCCAAACAUAAAAUCAAAAAACCAAAUAAAAGGCUAGAAAAAAAGAAACUAUAGAGUUCUGGUGUUAAUAAAGCAGUAAAGCCGAAUCCAUGUGCUGGGAAAAAUGUCAGAAUAAUUGUAAAUCAGUAAGUGAAACUGACAGAAAGCAAAUAUUAAAUGCCUAUUAUGAACUUGAGACCUAUGAAGAAAAGAAAAGUUGGCUAAUUCAAUGUAUGAAGCAAAAAGAAAUAGGAAGAAAAACGUACCAAGCAUAUACAAUAAUAAUUCCAAGCGACAAAAAACUAUAGAAUAUAACUUAACAGUAAAAGGAGAACAAAAAAAAGUUUGUCAGCAGUUCAUACUAAAAACCCUGGAUAUCAGUCAAAUGUCUUUGCGACAAACCAUAAACAAUGUUUCUAAGACAGGAAUGAUUAAAAAAGACUCGCGAGGUCGCUGUGCACCAAAAAAUAAGACAUCUGAGAAAUCUAUUAAACAUGUCAAUGAUUUUAUUAAUAAAAUACCAGUGGUGCCAUCCCAUUAUUGCCGCUCCCAAACAAAGAAACUUUACAUGCUUUCUGAAAUUGGAAAUUUUUCAAAUCUAUACAGAUUGUAUAAGGAAGAUUGUAAAAUGCAAAAAAUGGAUCCAGUGAGCAGAGCAACGUUUUUAAGGAUUUUUAAAGGUUACAAUCUAGACAUUCAUGUAAAAAAAAAAGAUAAAUGCAGUCUUUGUGAAAGGGUCCUAAGUACAGGCUAAAAAAAUGUAGAAGCAGCAGAUUUAGAAAACUAUCUGCGUCAUAGAGAAGAGAUAAAAAACAGUCGUGAUAAAUUUAAAAAAGAUCAAGAAAAUCGCGACCCCAAUUUCAUGCGUGCAUCUUUUGAUCUACAGAAGGUGUUAACUACGCCACACGGAAACAGUAUACUUUUAUAUUAUGCUCGUAAAUUAGCUGUUUACAAUUUCACAUUAAACUAUCUAAUUGCCGGCCAUACAUACAUGCCUGUUGAUUCUAUGCAUUCCACUAUAGAAUCAUUUAUAUCAAAAAGAACCAUUUACGCACCUUCAAUGUGUUGCUUCAAAGUCUUGCAAGGCACACACCCGGAGCAUAUUUCGUCAAUUUAUUAAACUAUGACAAUUUUCUGAACUACUCAACCAUUGCAAAAGGGGUUUCUAAUUUUUCCCAGUAUGUUGAAGACAUAGAAACUAGUGAACAACCUGAAAAAGUUUUAAAGAAAAAACGAACUAAAACUAGAAGCAAAAAACCUAAAUUAGUCAAAGGUAAGCCCCUUCAAAUUUCCAAAAUUCGGGUAGUAAAAAUGGAAGCAGAAAAUCCAAAAUACAUGACAGUUCAGUAUAGUUAUUUGCAAGGGUUAGCCAAUGAACAGCACUUUAGUAUUAAAAAUGACGGAAAGCCUCUUAAUAAAUGCUACACUUCCCUACUGCCGAUAUCGGCGGCUAAAUACAAAGAUCUCAGCAAAUUAUGUUUGCAGUCAGCUAUUCCAAAGGACUAUCAUACCGAAUUCAUUAGUCUGCCACAUUUGCAGGACAUUAUAGACGUAUUACCGGACACACAUGAAGAAGAUGAAGAGG
This 2961-nucleotide long non-coding RNA is filed under the name Anthonomus grandis grandis. RNAcentral's name for it is "uncharacterized LOC126745341". Lineage: Eukaryota; Metazoa; Arthropoda; Insecta; Coleoptera; Curculionidae. The record is from RNAcentral.